AUAAAGCCAAUUUUAUUUUUAGCAGUCAAAGCAACAAUCAUUUUUCUUCUCUAUCUCCCAAAACCAUCACCUGAGAAGGGUGUGGGAACGAGAGAUACCCCAGGAACAUCAGAGGAGUAUAGAAAUAAAGGACUUGAAGAGUCCAAAAUACCAGUGUUGGUGGUACCAGUAUUGGUGUUAGCAGCCAUGAUAUAUCAACAAGGAAGAACAGAUUCAGCAACCAAAAAUGUAACCAAUCAAAUUGCUACACACAAAGCCACACACAAAGCCAAAUAUUCAAACACAAAACCAAAAUCGAUAUACACAAACCAGAUGCACAAUUUUAAACCAAAGUUACCCUCCUUCUUCGCUACCGGAAGAAGAUCGGCCUUCAAAUAGCA
RNAcentral lists this long non-coding RNA (380 nucleotides) under Nicotiana benthamiana. Its description in RNAcentral is "long non-coding RNA (NBEN_LNC030416)". Lineage: Eukaryota; Viridiplantae; Streptophyta; Magnoliopsida; Solanales; Solanaceae. The record is from RNAcentral.